UACCAACACCAAAACCCCACCAAAAUCCCCUUCCCUUAGCCCCAGUAUACUAAAACCCCACGCCCCAACUGGCACCUCGACAUCACUAAAUCCUUCCAUUCUCAGCCCUUGAUCCCUUCCUCCACCAUCUUCACCCCAUCUCAAAUCCUCCUCCUAAAACCCUCCUCCAACUGCACCACUUUCCAAACCCUAGCUUCCUACACCUGUUCGCUCCCUCGAUCUCCCCCCUUCCCUUCACAUCAAGCUUAUUUUCUCUGUUAAUAUCCGAACAGACUUUCCCCCAAAAUCCCUCGCAGCUAUUACGGGAAUGCCAUCGUUCUCGGAUGUGCCCAGUCUUCAGUCAACCAAUUGACCCUUGCGCAUGACUUAAACACCGUCGUUCGCUUGGUCCAAAACGCCAAAUCCAUCGUCGAUGACGAUUACGUCAAGUCCAUGAUCUUUCAGCUAAAGGACAAAAAGUCUCCAAGCCGACUUGUCGGCCACUUUGGUUAUAUCGAAUUGGACGAAAUUGGGAUUACAGGACUUAGAUUUUGGGUCAGGGAAGCCUCUUAAAAUGAGCCCUUUGGCUAGCCAUGUCUUCUGCUUGUUUUUGCCAGUGAUUGGAGAUGUUAAGGCAAUGGGAGUUCUCGUGUCACUUCCGGCGAAUGUGGUUGAGAAGUUCGAGUAUUAUUUGACUGAAAUCAUUCAAUUUCUUCAACAAUUUCAUCCACCUUCACAUACACUCGAGUCGCUGGCACCACCACCACCACCACCAUCGUCCCUCAUGCCCAGCUCGUGCUCGCCACCACCGCCGUCACUCCUCACUUUCUUCAAACACUGAUGUUGCUUUGGGGUUUUUUGCUUUGGGGUUGUCGACGAAAAGAAUGUUUCAUGGGGUUUGCGGAUACUGAUUUAUCACCAACAUUUUCUUUUUUCUCAAAAUGUGAAGCUGUGAGCAUCAAACAUGUUUGUUAAUUUUCAGAUUCUUUUCAUGGGUUGUCUUGGUCCAUGGACGAGAGAUCGUUGAAAGAUGCGUUUUCUUCCUUUGGGGAGGUUACUGAAGGUAAUCGUGCAUGUUGAGCUUAACCCUUUGAUUUACCAGUUGUAGUCUACGUGUUCGACGAAAUGUCUAGUUGAUUUCAGACCUCAGUUCAUCACGUGUGCUUCUGGGUCGAAACAUUUUGCUUCCUUGACUUUCAUAAUUCCAAGCUAUGGCAGAGCCAAACAAAGAUAUUCUGACAGUGGAAAGAAGGACUUGAGUCCUAGUCUUCAUCUUGCUUCAGCAGCGGAAGCUGGAGCUUUGGUUUGUUUUUGCACAAAUCCAGUUUGGCUUGUGAAAACAAGAAUGCAGCUUCAGAGUCCUCUUCAUCAAGCUCAACCUUAUUCUGGGCUAUAUGGUCUGCCUUCUGUCUUUCAUUCAAUUAAUAAUAAUGUGUUCUUUGGGAUAUACCUUAUCCUAGUAAGUUAUAAGAUCAUAUGAUUUGUACUUCAGUUAAAUUUCAAUAUUUUAUCCACCCCCAUCCCCCCUCUCUCUCUCACAUACACACACACUCGAACACACAAACACAGUUGUUUUGUCAGCCAUUUUUACCUUGAUAUUUAGACUUGUCAAGGAUUAAAGGCUUUUAUGUAAACAUGAAAAAACAAAAAUUAAUUCAUCAACAAGAGAAAAGAAUAAAAAUAGGGAAACAAUAAGAAGGCCAAACCCUCUCAUUGAAAGAAGUUUACUUCAUCUAGAGACGGAGCUUGAAGAAUAGAUUUGUUUAUUUCCAAUGUCUCUCACUCUCUUUGAGGAUUCAUUAUGGAGUGGGAAAGAGUUCGUACGUUUGUCAUAAAAAGACAUUCUGUUUACACUAUUUCAUGGGAACAAUUCAUAGAUGUGUUUUGUUGCUACAGCAGGUUUCUCAUGGUGCCAUUCAAUUUACAGUCUAUGAAGAACUCCGUAAAGUUAUUGCCAACUCAAGGUCUAAAGGGACCAGAGUCGAUGCUCAAAGUUCCGGGGAAUUACUGAAUUCCGGUGAUUAUGCUGUUCUUGGAGGAACUUCUAAAAUUGCUGCCAUGCUUUUGACAUACCCAUUUCAAGUAAAUUGAAAUUUGCUUUGAUGCUGUGAACUGUGGUGUGGUUUUUAUAGUCAUUUUUCUUAGCUGAUUCUUGAGUGACUUGGUUUCAGGUUAUUUGAGCUCGGUUGCUACAGUUCAGGAAGAGGAAUGUCAAGCCCUUGCUGCAUUUGGUGCCUGUUUCCAAUAUUAAUAAUUGUUUGAAGAAGCAUUUUCGAGACCUUUAAAAUGUCGUGAUCUUUGAAUUUAUAUAAUUCUGUUUGGUUGCAGUUAAUUUUACAAGCGUGUUUUCAUUGUUGGUGGAAUCAGACUUGAAUAAUAUGGGAUUUAUGUGCUUUAAGAUAUGAAUGGGAUUUAUUGUUGCUUUAAGAUA
Molecule: long non-coding RNA, 2410 nt
Organism: Cucumis melo (muskmelon)
Lineage: Eukaryota; Viridiplantae; Streptophyta; Magnoliopsida; Cucurbitales; Cucurbitaceae
Exons: 8
Source: RefSeq, a predicted model, not a curated record